Molecule: long non-coding RNA, 227 nt
Filed under: Elaeis guineensis (African oil palm)
Lineage: Eukaryota; Viridiplantae; Streptophyta; Magnoliopsida; Arecales; Arecaceae
Description: long non-coding RNA (EGUI_LNC050384)
Source: RNAcentral
GAUGAUGACAAAACACUUGAGCAAAAGCAUAUAUAUGAAACAUUGAGCAUGAAUUUCAAAGGAAUGAAAUGCAUCAUAGGUAGUUUGAAGAUAAAUAAAAAAUUUGCUACCAAAUUGAAAAUUACUUAUAAGUGCAUUUGCUUGAAAAGAAGAUUGAUUCUUUGGCACGUGAUACAUGUGCCCAUUUGCUUGUGUUGCUCAUUUGCCUAACAAUUUGCCUAUUGCUU